UACGUAGGCAGCGAGCGUUGUUCGGAGUUACUGGGCGUAAAGGGUGUGUAGGCGGUUUUUUAAGUUUGGUGUGAAAUCUCCCGGCUCAACUGGGAGGGUGCGCCGAAUACUGAAUGACUAGAGUACGGGAGAGGAAAGUGGAAUUCCUGGUGUAGCGGUGAAAUGCGUAGAUAUCAGGAGGAACACCGGUGGUGUAGACGGCUUUCUGGACCGUAACUGACGCUGAAACACGAAAGCGUGGGUAGCAAACAGG
RNAcentral lists this ribosomal RNA (253 nucleotides) under uncultured bacterium. RNAcentral describes it as "partial 16S ribosomal RNA". It matches the Rfam family "Bacterial small subunit ribosomal RNA", at positions 524 to 776 of the family's 1533-position model. The record is from RNAcentral.